This 838-nucleotide long non-coding RNA is filed under the name Brassica rapa (field mustard). RNAcentral's name for it is "long non-coding RNA (BRAP_LNC001436)". The record is from RNAcentral. Lineage: Eukaryota; Viridiplantae; Streptophyta; Magnoliopsida; Brassicales; Brassicaceae.
UUAAAACAAACGAUAAUAGUUUGAACGAGACAUCGAAACUCAGUUGGUAUCUUGAUCAUGUCCAAAUUUACGCCAAAUAUGUUCAACCAAAUCACCUUUCAGUUGUUGAUGUGCUUGUCUAUCACGAAUCCUUGUUCGAACACCCAUCUGAUUAGCGAUAUUUGUAGGGAUAUUGUUGAAUGUGAACUAUAACUUAGGCAUAUAUCAUUAGGAGAAUGAUGAGACGAGUCUUAGCUCUCACGGACUUAGUGUAUUAGACAAAUCUGGUUUUAGUUGAUUUCCGGUUUAAUGGGUCAAUGCCGGUUUGUUUUAAGAACCUAAAUGUUAGUCCGGUUAAGUGUACAUCCUCGGUGAUAUAUAAGAGGGUAAAUAGAGAGCUGAGAUGUUAUCGUUGUUCUUAUUCUUCUAGUGUCAGCAAGUUGUAUUGAGCUCAGGGUUGUUGAGCUUGAUUAUUGUUCUAGUGGAUUGCUGGAUUGAGGUCUGGCCCCAGUGAUUAGUUCUCCACAUCGGAGAGAUACACUGGGUAAACAAACCUGUGCGCCGUGUUCUUUAGCUCGUUUAGUUCUCUUGGUUCUUGAUAGAUCAAACGAGUGAGAGAGAGAGUGCGUUAAGAUCAAGAUACAAUCGCAAGAUUGAGUAACUUGACGCGUGAGAUCGGAGAUCAGGUUGUAACAAGUGGUAUCAGAGCCUCGCUGUUCGAGAUCGGGUUCGAGAUCGGGUACGAUGUCGAUGACGAAGACGAAGACGACGACUCGAGCGGAGGUGGAGCGAUUCGACGGAACCGGUGAUUUCUCGCUGUGGACUAUUAGGAUGAUGGCGCACUUCGGAGUCUCCGGAU